Molecule: transfer RNA, 72 nt
Filed under: Marmota monax (woodchuck)
Lineage: Eukaryota; Metazoa; Chordata; Mammalia; Rodentia; Sciuridae
Description: tRNA.Undet
Source: RNAcentral
GUGGACUUGUGGCUCAGUGGUAGAGCGCUUGCUUGGUCAUGUGAGGCCCUGGGUUUAAUCCUCAGCACCACA